Molecule: ribosomal RNA, 253 nt
Filed under: uncultured bacterium
Lineage: Bacteria
Description: partial 16S ribosomal RNA
Rfam family: Bacterial small subunit ribosomal RNA
Source: RNAcentral
AGUAAUACAUAAGUAACCUGCCCUAGACAGGGGGAUAACUAUUGGAAACGAUAGCUAAGACCGCAUAGGUACGGACACUGCAUGGUGACCGUAUUAAAAGUGCCUCAAAGCACUGGUAGAGGAUGGACUUAUGGCGCAUUAGCUGGUUGGCGGGGUAACGGCCCACCAAGGCGACGAUGCGUAGCCGACCUGAGAGGGUGACCGGCCACACUGGGACUGAGACACGGCCCAGACUCCUACGGGAAGCAGCAUG